Molecule: long non-coding RNA, 1675 nt
Organism: Dreissena polymorpha
Lineage: Eukaryota; Metazoa; Mollusca; Bivalvia; Myida; Dreissenidae
Exons: 5
Source: RefSeq, a predicted model, not a curated record
CGCGGAACUUUCACUUUCCGCGAAAAACCAAUGCCAGCAUGGCCAUAAAACACUACAUACAAAUCGAAAUCUAAAAAGCGCGGAACUUUCAUAUAUUUUCCGUCGGAGCAAUUAUUUUUCAACUCUGUAGAAAAAGCGGGCUCAAUUAAUCGCGCGGAACCUUAUUUAUCUACUCUGUACAAAUAGUAGUGUUUAAAAUCGCGCGGAGAUUGUAGAAUGCUAUUUUAAGAAGUCUAUUAAAGAGAGAAAAUCCAGUAAAUACCAGAUCCAAAAAGCGCGGACCACAAAUAUCGUCCGCGAAAAUUAAGCAUUGAAUUACUGUACAAAUCUCGGGUUGUUAGGUGUUAGAAUCCCUAGUUACCCGAAAAAUUUGAUUGGAUCCGAUACUUAGAAAUAACCAAUCAGAUACUUUGUAACAAAUGCAACACAAUCAGUGCGUUCAGUGUGUGUUGCCAGUAAUGGUUCAAGAUAUGCCAAACAAAUUGUGCCUCUCUAUACAGACAGAUUUCAGGUCUCAAUUUCAACUUCAAAGGUCAACAUAUCACUGAUAUCAGGAAUUCUGUGAAACUGUGGCACCAUGUAUGGUACGUGAGCGCACAAUGUCUGUUGGAAAAAGGAUAUUGGAAUAACCAAAGGGACUCAACAUUACACAGUCAUUUCAACAUGUAGAGUCUUGUCAGCAAUGAUGGAGCAGUACAUCAGAUUUCCAGAAUCUCGUCAUGAGCUGAAGAUCAUUGCCUAUGGAUUUCAUGAAUGAUGUAGAAUGAUUGGACUGUUGAUGGAACCCACAGUGCAUGUCCUGCUUCAACAUCUGAGCAUAGGUCCUUGUUUAUCAGCAGUUUAGUUCUUCAAGCAGUCUGUGACAGUAACUUGAAAUGUUUGGACAUAUGCCCUGGAUGGCCAAGUUCUGUGCAUGAUGCCCAUUUAAAUAGGAACGGCCCGGUGGCGCAUUAAAUGGACAAUUUUUCGAAUGUUCUCGUGGAUUCAGCUUACCGCCUGACAAGAAAUCUUGCUUUUUGUUCCGUAUCGAGGCCAUGGACAUUUGUAUCAUUUGCAAAAGAUACUGCGAUAUUUGUGCCUUUGUUCAUGCUUUAUAGUUGAUUAACAAUUGGAAGCCAUAAUUAAACCUGUUUUAUAGGAUGGUGUUAGUGGGACAAUGAAUUUUGUAAAGAUUUAAAGAAUGGAAAAGAUAAUUAAAAGUCAAAAGAGUUCUGCUAUUGUUAAGCAUGCUUUAUUGAUUUGUAAUGUUAGAAAGAUAGCAUUAUAAACAGAAUAAAAUGUCCAUAAUUUGAAUAUUCUACUGUUUUCAGCAACAUUUAAUUUGAUAUAGUACAAAAUGCUGCAUCAUGUUAUAUCAUGAUCCGUUUUGUGAACAAUGACCUUUCAAUGUAUAUUCAAUAAUUUGUCAAUGGGUGUUACACGCAUAAGCCCUACCAUUAGCCCAAAAAGGAAUUGCUUAGGAGUUUUGCCACCUUCUAGAGAAAAAUACUUCUCAGAAACAAUUGCAUUUUGGAAAGUCUAUGGCUAGUAAAAUUUGGAUUCCUUUUGGAUACCCAAGGUUACCAAUUUAUGUUUAAUAAAUUUGCAAUAAAAAGCUUUGACAGAACAUAAUGUCACAGAGUCGAACACGUGUAUGGAAUAAAGUGGAAGUUGAUUAAAUGAGUAAUACACAUUA